AAACAUUUCUGAGGGGAAAAUGUUUUUGGUUUAACCUGCUCAAUGCUAAAGUAAAUAGCUGCAGUAUUUUGACUGUACAAAGGUAGCAUAAUCAUUAGUCUUUUGAUUGGAGGCUUGUAUGAAUGGUUGAACAGAAUAUUAGCUUUUUUAACUGUAUGAUAUUUUAAUUUAUAGUUUAUGUAAAAAUGCAUAAUUAUUUAAAAGGGACGAUAAGACCCUAUAGAAUUUAAAAAUAUUUUGGUAAUUAUAUUUUUUUGUUGGGGUGACAGUAAAUAAACUUUUAUAAAAUAUUCAUUGAUAAAUGGUUAAUUGAUCCUAAUAUUUAGAGAAAAAGAUAAAAUUACCUUAGGGAUAACAGCAUAAUUUUUUUUAAAAGAUCUUAUUAAUAAAAGAGAUUAUGACCUCGAUGUUGAAUUAAAAUAGAAUUUAGGUGUAGAAGCUUAAUUU
RNAcentral lists this ribosomal RNA (447 nucleotides) under Cacopsylla araliae. Its description in RNAcentral is "partial 16S ribosomal RNA". Lineage: Eukaryota; Metazoa; Arthropoda; Insecta; Hemiptera; Psyllidae. The record is from RNAcentral.